Lathyrus oleraceus (garden pea) is the source of this 107-nucleotide small nucleolar RNA. Lineage: Eukaryota; Viridiplantae; Streptophyta; Magnoliopsida; Fabales; Fabaceae. The record is from RefSeq and is a predicted model, not a curated record.
AUGCCAUGGCGGGAACAUUGUCUAAGUAGCUCCUUAAAUCUUUCACAAGCGUCAAAUAGGGAUUGACCCUCUCCUUGUCUAAAUGAGGUUAUCUCAUUUCUCAUUUU